UUGACCUCGGAUCAGGUAGGACUACCCGCUGAACUUAAGCAUAUCAAUAAGCGGAGGAAAAGAAACCAACAGGGAUUGCCCCAGUAACGGCGAGUGAAGCGGCAACAGCUCAGAUUUGGAAUCUGGCCCCCAGGGCCCGAGUUGUAAUCUGGAGAGGAUGCUUCUGGCGCGGCGCCUUCCGAGUUCCCUGGAACGGGACGCCGGAAAGGGUGAGAGCCCCGUACGGUUGGACGCCUAGCCUUUGUGAAGCUCCUUCGACGAGUCGAGUAGUUUGGGAAUGCUGCUCAAAAUGGGAGGUAAAUUUCUUCUAAAGCUAAAUACCGGCCAGAGACCGAUAGCGCACAAGUAGAGUGAUCGAAAGAUGAAAAGCACUUUGAAAAGAGGGUCAAACAGUACGUGAAAUUGUUGAAAGGGAAGCGCCCGUGGCCAGACUUGUGCCCCGCGGACCACCCGGCGCCCUCAGCGCCGGUGCACUCCGCGGGGCGCAGGCCAGCAUCGGUUUUCCUAGGGGGAUAAAGGCGGCGGGAA
This 528-nucleotide ribosomal RNA is filed under the name Leptographium clavigerum. RNAcentral describes it as "eukaryotic LSU rRNA". It matches the Rfam family "Eukaryotic large subunit ribosomal RNA", at positions 1 to 534 of the family's 3401-position model. The record is from RNAcentral. Lineage: Eukaryota; Fungi; Ascomycota; Sordariomycetes; Ophiostomatales; Ophiostomataceae.